Molecule: ribosomal RNA, 254 nt
Filed under: uncultured bacterium
Lineage: Bacteria
Description: partial 16S ribosomal RNA
Rfam family: Bacterial small subunit ribosomal RNA
Source: RNAcentral
UACGUAGGGUCCGAGCGUUGUCCGGAUUUAUUGGGCGUAAAGAGCUCGUAGGCGGCUCAGUAAGUCGGAUGUGAAAACUCAGGGCUCAACCCUGAGACGCCAUCCGAUACUGCUGUGGCUUGAAUCUGGUAGGGGAGCACGGAAUUCCUGGUGUAGCGGUGAAAUGCGCAGAUAUCAGGAGGAACACCGGCGGCGAAGGCGGCUCACUGGGGGUUUUCUGACGCUGAGGAACGAAAGCCAGGGGAGCGAACGGG